RNAcentral lists this small RNA (116 nucleotides) under bovine gut metagenome. Its description in RNAcentral is "Ribosomal protein L10 leader". It matches the Rfam family "Ribosomal protein L10 leader", at positions 19 to 133 of the family's 138-position model. Rfam says of the family: This family is a putative r-protein leader autoregulatory structure found in B. subtilis and other low-GC Gram-positive bacteria. It is located in the 5' untranslated regions of mRNAs encoding ribosomal proteins L10 and L12 (rplJ-rplL). The record is from RNAcentral.
CUCCAAAGACAGCAGGUGGCGAAAGCCGUAAAUCCUGCCGAGGACAUCAACAAUUUCACUCCUUUUGAUUUUGUUUUUGUGCCCUUGCGUCUUACUGCCGCAAGGGUUUUUCUUUA